This 459-nucleotide long non-coding RNA is filed under the name Arabidopsis lyrata. RNAcentral's name for it is "long non-coding RNA (ALYR_LNC001746)". Lineage: Eukaryota; Viridiplantae; Streptophyta; Magnoliopsida; Brassicales; Brassicaceae. The record is from RNAcentral.
GUAGGCGUUAUUUUGUUUAGUGAAGUCACAUGAAUAUUUAGUAUUUAUAUUAUAAGGAAAAAAAAUUGGUAUAUAAAUGCAAUUUCAUUGUUUUAAUUAGGUUGUUCAGAUUUAUUAGCAGAUGCGCCAACAAUCUUCGAUACUAUAUACUUUCAUGUCAUGGUAUGAGCAGACAAAAUAAUUUUUUUCUGGUUUGCAUGGUGGUUGUCCUGUCUUUUCUCCUGUUCUAGGAUUUGUCAAUGGUUUGUCAUCUUUGAAAAGACCUAUUUAUAAAAAGAGCAAUAAUGAAUUUCAAAAUAUAACGGAGAAUAUUGGUAACUAAUAAUGAUUAGUGAUAAGCAAAAUGUAAACUAUAUGACAUACAUUCAUGAAGAUUAGCGAGUGAAACGAGGAUGAUACAAAAUACCGCAAUUUUGGAUGACGACAAUAUUAUUUAUCUCUUUAAAGAAAUGUUUUGUU